AUUGAACGCUGGCGGCAGGCCUAACACAUGCAAGUCGAACGGUAGCACAGAGGAGCUUGCUCCUUGGGUGACGAGUGGCGGACGGGUGAGUAAUGUCAGGGAAACUGCCCGAUGGAGGGGGAUAACUACUGGAAACGGUAGCUAAUACCGCAUAACGUCGCAAGACCAAAGAGGGGGACCUUCGGGCCUCUUGCCAUCGGAUGUGCCCAGAUGGGAUUAGCUAGUAGGUGGGGUAACGGCCCACCUAGGCGACGAUCCCUAGCUGGUCUGAGAGGAUGACCAGCCACCCUGGAACUGAGACACGGUCCAGACUCCUACGGGAGGCAGCAGUGGGGAAUAUUGCACAAUGGGCGCAAGCCUGAUGCAGCCAUGCCGCGUGUAUGAAGAAGGCCUUCGGGUUGUAAAGUACUUUCAGCGAGGAGGAAGGUGUUGAGUUUAAUAACCUCAGCAAUUGACGUUACUCGCAGAAGAAGCACCGGCUAACUCCGUGCCAGCCGCCGCCGUAA
Molecule: ribosomal RNA, 506 nt
Filed under: uncultured bacterium
Lineage: Bacteria
Description: partial 16S ribosomal RNA
Rfam family: Bacterial small subunit ribosomal RNA
Source: RNAcentral